RNAcentral lists this ribosomal RNA (497 nucleotides) under uncultured bacterium. RNAcentral describes it as "bacterial SSU rRNA". It matches the Rfam family "Bacterial small subunit ribosomal RNA", at positions 27 to 518 of the family's 1533-position model. The record is from RNAcentral.
GGAUGAACGCGUAGCGGCAGGCUUAACACAUGCAAGUCGAGGGGCAUCGGGAGUAGCAAUACUGCCGGCGACCGGCGCAAGGGUGCGUAACGCGUGAGCAACAUGCCCGUAUCAGGGGGAUAAUCCAUGGAAACGUGGUCUAAUACCCCAUAGUAAUUAUGUAAGGCAUCUUAUAUAAUUUAAAGCUUUGGUGGAUACGGAUUGGCUCGCGUGACAUUAGCUGGAUGGUAAGGUAACGGCUUACCAUGGCUACGAUGUCUAGGGGUUCUGAGAGGAAGGUCCCCCACACUGGAACUGAGACACGGUCCAGACUCCUACGGGAGGCAGCAGUGAGGAAUAUUGGACAAUGGAUGGAAAUCUGAUCCAGCCAUGCCGCGUGCAAGGAAGACGGCCCUAUGGGUUGUAAACUGCUUUUGUAUGGGAGCAAUAAGGGCUACGUGUAGUCCGAUGAGAGUACCAUACGAAUAAGCACCGGCUAACUCCGUGCCAGCCGCGGC